Molecule: unclassified non-coding RNA, 7329 nt
Filed under: Lingula anatina
Lineage: Eukaryota; Metazoa; Brachiopoda; Lingulata; Lingulida; Lingulidae
Description: serine/arginine repetitive matrix protein 2, transcript variant X2
Source: RNAcentral
UGAAACAUGUAGAUGCAAUGGGCGCAGGAUAAACAACGGUGGAGAUUUUUUUCUACAGCCAUGUUUGGCUGUCAAGAACUAACUUGAUGUAUUCAUUAAGUGAUGAGCCAUCGACAGGUUGUGUAGAUCACAAAGAAGAUAAAAGAUGGCUACUGCAACCAAAGAGACACGGGGUCUAUCACCAAGUAAACAUCCCCGUUUGGCCUCUCCUUUUUACCAGGAUUUGAUGAAAAAAUACUCUCAUGUCUUUGAAAAGCAACAGAGUCCAGAUAGAAUUAGGUCAAGGCCAUCAUCACGGGGACCACAGGGUGAGACUGCAGGGUCAAGGUUAUUACAUAGCAAUGGUUCAGUUUCAGACCCUUUAAGGUCAAGGCCAUCAUCAAGGGGACCACAGGGUGACACAGCAGGGUCAAGGUUAUCACAUGAUAAUGAACUAAUCAUAAACAGUAUUGGGUCCUCCUCGUCGUUAAAUGGAUCACAGGGUCGAGCCAGGUCAGAGAGCCAACAAAAUUCUUCAAGCAAUUCAAAGUCAUGUCCAUCAAGAAUUGCUGCUGCUGCAUCAAUUUCUCCAAAGACCUCACCAUUGACAAAACUCUCCUUAAUAGGGGAUAGAACAUUGGCAGCUCGGCCUUCAAGUGCCUGCAGUCUUCCAUAUAAAUCAACUGAUGAUGUGGCUGGCCAUUCUAGUGAAUAUGUUGGCCAAGUUGUGCCCAGGCCAGGUAGUGCCAGCAUCUUUGAGAAAAAUUCGUUCAAAUCUCCAGAACACUCUCCCCACCGUUCUCCACUCACUGACUCCACAAACAAACCAAUAUUGAACUCCCCAGAGGGUCCGCAUGAUCAUUCAGCCAUCUCGUUAAAAGAAAAAUUAAGACGUAAUUCUCAGACUCUUAAAGAGCUUCUUGAUUCCCCAUUGAAAACAAGACUAAGGAAUUUAUCCAAAGAAAGACCCCCAAGUAGAAAGACUGAUCAUGGAAAUUCACAAAAUUCUCAAAAUUGCCAAAUUAAUGAAAGUGAAAAUGAAAUCUCAUCUGAAGGAAGGACUUCCAAGUUACAGAAUCUCAAAAGCAGAUUGAUUUCAAGAGAAGAGGGUUUACUGACUAGAAACAGUGAAGAGCCGAGAGGUCGGCCUAGGCAGAGACAUGAAUAUAAGACAAGGUUGGCUAGCCCAGACUCUCAUGAUAGUGCUGUGGAAAUUGAUAAUGGAUCAGUUAAUUCAAAUCCAUCAUUAGAUAUUUCUCCAUGUGAAAACCCAUCCACAGAAUCAUCCGGCAAAUCUGGAAAACUGUCAUCCCUAUCACCAGGUGGUGCUAAUGGUUUGAUCAAGACGGACCAGCUUGAAGAUCUGCUCUUGAAACAGGCUCUACAGAAUGACUUACAGAAAUCAAUAGCUGGGGAAGAGACAGUUGUCACUCAAAACAAAGAUUCAGAUGCAGACUCUGGUAUUGCUCAAGCCUAUCAAAAGCCAAAGUUGCAUUUGGUGCGAGGUGACUCUGUCUCAUCAACCGAACAGGAGAGCUUGCUGUCUCCAAGACAUGAAUUAAGUGUCUUGUCACCCAAGAUGUCUCCCGGGGUGAACAUCUCCCUGGCCAAGAGUAACUUCAGGAACACACAGAAAACUUUGACCAGCCAAGGUGGCAGGUGUGGUCCUCUCAAGGCUGACCACAACAUACAGCUGGUCGUGUCAUCAAAACACAGGGACAGUGCCAUAGCAGAAGAAGCCUUGAGUGAAAAGCUGAAAUGGUAUCAACAAGGUGCUAGACCUAAAAACUCGACAGGUUUGUCUUUAGAAUUUUCUGAUCAGCGCCACCUUCAGGCAGCAGAUUAUGGUGAUGAUGAGCUUGAUGACUCAGAUCCAAGGUUAGGCAUAUCACAUGAUAUUAGUCUUGAAACUGGAGGAGACCAGCAAACUUCCAGUGUGAGUUCCAAAGCUUCCAUUCCACCUUCCCUCAAUGGGUUGAGACACUCAUUCACAGGCCAACAACAAGCAAGUCAGGGUAAUUUCUGUGGAGAAAUAUCUCAAGAAUUAACACUUAGUGGCAGCAAUAGUUUGGACAGUUUAUUACCUGCCUCAAAACGAAAAAGAUCUAGAUCUGCAGAUCGUCCUGCCAGUAGAAACAGGGAUUCCACAUUUAGUUAUAGCUAUGACAGUCCCAAAAGUAACAGUGUAAGUGAAACUGAAGUGUCCCCAGGAGACAGAGGGAAGGAUUCAGUCAUGUCUGAAAAACUUCACUUAUUCAAUGGGCUCCCAGUGCAUGAUGGCCCACCCAAACCACCGCAGUACCCAGCCUUAGCUUCAUCCGUGUCAGGAAAGUCAAAAUCACAGUCUUAUCUCCGCGAGCCACAGCCUCUAAAUACAAGUCAAGGUCAGUUUAGGAAACAUCACUCAGCGGGAGAUUUAUAUGCCAAAACCAAUGGACAUCUAACAAAUGGGCAUGAGAUUGAUACUUAUGGAUGGAUUGAUUCCCAACAGAGGAAACUUUUUGAUGACUUGAUGUCAAAUCCACCUGUUGCUGAUGAUAAACUUGAAGAGAAUCCCUCACAUUUGGAACAUUCAUUUGACGAGGAAGUUUCCUACAUAUCAAGUAAAGGAAAAAAGAUGAAAAGUAUUUUAAAAAGAAAAAAAGGCAGUUAUUCUCCCUCCAAUGAAGAUGAUGCGGAGAGCAAUAUUUCUAGUCAAGAUGUCACAACCCAGAACCGACCUCCGUCCAGGGCUCGGAGUGAGGGUGGUCAGCGCAGCAGGGAACCAAACAAAAAUAACAGACCCUCUUCAAGAGCAAGUGGAAGGCAUAGCGUUAACUUUGAUAUGGAAAAUUCCAGGGUUUAUAUUGAUGAAAAGCCAGUUGGUAGAGACAACAAGAGGGAUACCCCACAGUUUCUCAGUCAGGCUCAUGAUAAGGCUAGACCUGGAAGUGCACAGGCUGCCCCUUUCGGUUCUCAGGCUCAAACCACCUUUUCUCCCAGUCUUCCUCAAAACACGACUCAGGCUUAUCAUAUGUCUAGAUCUAGGACUCCAAAAUUAAAAUCUGCCAAUAAAACUGUUACCUUCCACCUUUCUCCAGAGAUGGCAGCACAGUCUGGACAGAGUCAAGAAGCUCUAGGUCCAUCUCAGCCAGUUGGAGGCUUAGAUAUCAAGUAUCUCCGGGAGUCCAGUGUAGAUGAUGGACAAGAAAUAAAACCGCAGAACAGUCACUUCUUAUCCAAUGGAUUCUCAGGAGAAGACCACGCAGAGAAAUUAUGGCUAGACCAUAAAGAUGGUGGUACUAAUGACUCAAGGUUAUUCAGUGGUAGUGUACCUGCAGACAGUGUCCAUGAGAGACCUUCAUCAAGAGCAGACAAACAAAAUCCACCACAAAAUAAAAGAGAAGGGUUAUCAACAGGCAAGGAUUCCAGGGCACCACAUUAUGAUACAGUAGAAUAUACCUGUCCCCCACAUAGUGAAAACCCCACAAAAUCCUCCAGUUCUGCUGCAAGAGUGACCCCAAGUGGCCUGUCUCUGUCAACAGAGGACGAUCCUUAUGAGACGGUGGAGGUUAUCACUGACCUUAGCAAUACAUCAGCAGCAGCAGAGGAGAACAAAAUGAAUUCUUCCUUUGGUUUAAACAGCAAGGGCCAAGUAAUGAGCAAACCACCAAGAAACCGUUCCAGACCAAAUAGUGCCGAUAUCAGUAAAGAACAUCAUCCAAAUCCUGAAGCUCCACCACCACAACCUGAGACUGGUGAUGCCAAUGUCAAACAGCCUAAUGGUACCACUAGUGCCAUCUAUGCUGUUGUUGACAAGUCAGCCAAGCUUCCAAGGAGUCGCACACCAGAUAAUGUGAGGAGUCGUACACCUGAUCCUUUGCCUGUCAGUAACCCCUGCAUUGUAGUGGGAGGAGAUGAUGAGAUUGAAGAACUUGACACACCAACUCUUCCAAGAAGGAGAUAUAGGAGCAAUCUGGAAGAGUCUAAGGAACUAAGUGGGUCAAGGUCAUCUCUAAUGGACCGUAUGGAAGGUCUCAGGAGAUCAGCAAAGAGCAAGUUUAAAGCAAUAAAGAGGGCCAUGAGCUUGGACAGGAUUGAUAAGAGUAGAGAGUCCACUGAUUCCAAGGAACCUGGAAAGGUGAAGGUCAAGAGAGCUCCGUCACUGCAAUCUCUCAGGCUGAGCUUCAGUAAGAAAAAAGAGGACAGACCCAGUAACCAAGCAGUGGAUAUUGAGGUUCCAGUAAAAGACAAGAAAUCCAAGAAAAGACCCUCCAGUGCCCAAACUCCCAAAAAGUCUUCCCAGCACCUGCGUCGUCACUCCAUCGCCUCACCGGAGGAAGUGGAGAGCCCCACACACGGGCGAGCCAUAGGGCGCCUCCUGUCGGUCAACUCUAAUGGGUCUCAGGUUAUAGAGCUGAUCAAACCACCACAUGGACCCUUUGGUUUCUAUAUUGCCAGAGGGAAUGCCAAGUUUAAGCAUGGUAUAUUUAUCUCCAGACUAAGUGACGGUUAUCCUGAAAAGUUUUUUGCUGGUUUGCUUAGUGUGGGUGAUGAGAUUCUGGAAGUGGAUACAAAACCCACCAAGGACCUUACCCUAGAUGACCUCUACGAUUUCAUGGCCACUAAGAAGAAAUUGGUUCUGAAGACAUUGCCUUUGUUAGCUAGGACUGACACUUAAAUAUAUGGGAGUGAAUGACAUUUCAUCUACUCUUAGUGAAUUCAUAUUAGCAAGUAAGAUUCACAAUCAUGUCUUGUCAUGAAUGAAAUGAGCAAUAUUUUCAUUGCUAUUGUUUAUGUCAAAGAAAUGAAUUUCGAUAAAAAAAUUUCCCCAGUAUCUGGUUGAUUUUCUCAGCUGGUGUACUCUGGGUAGAUCUUGAGAUUAUAACAUAGGGUUGUGACUUUCACAAUAUUUUGAUACAGUAUAUUCACCCACUCUUGCAUUCAUUAUUGUUAAACAAAUGCCUUAUAGUGCAUAUCAUGUUUUUUUGUCCAUGUUUUUGUCAGUGUUGUUUUUAUUAAGGGACCAAAUAUUAAGCACAGUUUGCCAUUCCACAGGUUUGUAGCUUAUGCUAAUAAGGGCAGUUUAGUUGUUUUCUCCUGCCUGAUAUUUAAUGUUAUAUUUUACCAAGCCAGUUGGCUUUGUAAAUUGAUAUUAUUGCUUUUUUAAGAUUUGCCAAUAACUGACAAGGAAAACUAUUAAAAGACCUAUUUUGUCUCCUAGUUAAUAUUGAGGCAUAUUCCAAGGGUACAACUAUAAAAGUUUUUUGAAAAAAGACAAAUGUCGCCAUUCUUUAGAUUGAUGAUGUUGGUACAAUUUAUGCACUGCUUUCCGUCCUGACUUUAUACUCUUUGCACAGAUCUAUGCAUUUCUCACUGUUAAGGAUUUUGUUUUAAAUUUUGUAUAAAUACAGUUGUUUACAUGAUCACCGUCCUAUUUGUUCUAUUUCUAGCACAAAUAUAUUCAGUAGUGUUACUAGUGUGCAUGUAUUUUUAUACAAGUGUUUUAAUAUAUAUAUUGCUGUUAGUUUUAUCACUUUAUUCCACUGCCCAUAUUGUGUCAGCCUAAUGUUGAUGUUAACUAUUAGUUAUACUUGAACAGUGUAGGCAGAUCUUCGGGGGAAGGGGGGGAGAUUUGUUUAUUUAUUGUUAUUUUUAAAAAUAAUUAUUAUUAUUUAGUUUUGAUUAUUUAUUGCUUUGCUUGAAUCAGUGUAAUGCUUUGAGGCUAUUUUAUUGCCAUCCCAUAUUUUGGACUGUUUAUUAAUCCUUUCUGUGGAUUUCAAAUACUUUUUUCAGUAGGUUGUGAUUUUUUGUUGCUCUUUUCACUGGGUCCAAAGGUUUGAAAUGUCACAUAUCACUUAAAAAACAUUUCUUUUUUGAUUUCUUUAAAUGAUUAUUGUUGAUUCUUCAGCUUGUUUGUACAUUAAAGAAAAGAAGCAGUUCAGAGAGACAUGUGCAUGCUUCUCUAGAUCUGCCCUUGCACAAUACUUAUUGAACCAAAGAUCACAAAGUGCAAGUAACUGUAUUACAAUUCUGUCAUAUUUCUGUCCAGAUUUUAUAUUUAUGUCACUUUACUGGACUACUGUACAGUAUCUAAUUUAAAGAGUUUUAUUAUUAUUUAUUUGUUAGUUUGUUCACUUAUUUAUUUAUUUAUUCAUUGUUUAUUUAGUGGGCAUGCAGGGAAUAAUUUUAGCUUUUCUUUUGUGAAUAGAAAAUAUGUGCUUUUAGAAAUCACGUUAAUUUCAUGCAGAGCUUCCAGCCCUAUCUGUUGCAUUUAAUAUAUUUGUAAUAUAUAUAUCGUAUUUUUAGAUAAUUUACACGCUUAAUAGUAUUUUUAUAGCCAUUGUUGUGAGUUACAGUUGUGUCAUUAGCUUUUUAUGUCACAGUGUGCUUUUUCAUAUAUUUCAAGAAUUAUUACUGCAUUUCACAACAGAUUUAUGUGGCCUGUUGUCAAAUUGUAUCUCAACUUGUGGGUUUUAUUUUGUAUGCAUGCUUAAUUUCUUGAACAUUGUCAUCAUUCACCAUCCGGUCACAGUCUUGUCCUCCAGUGCAAAUUGAUUGCCGUCCCAGAAUUUCGUCUAUUUGUAAAUGCCUAUUGUGAAUUUGUAAAGGCCUUAUGGGAGGUUUUGAUUUUAUGUUACUCUUAUUACUGGGUCCAAUGUUUCAGAAAGUCACAUACUACAUGAAACCUCUCCAGAAAAAUUCACCCUUUUCUUUUCUUGUUUAAUAUUCUGUAUCUGUGGUCUUGGUUACCACUAAUAUGUUAUACAUGACCAAUGCAAUUUCAAUAAUGCAUCUGUUAUAGUCAUUAAAAUGCUACUUUUGUAGCCAGUAGAUGAAAUGUUAGCUUUACUUAUAUGAUUAGGUUUAUAGCAAAGAGAUUUAAUCAAAUAGAUCAUUUAUGCGUAGGAGACAUAUAUUUUUAAUGUUUAAGUUAUAAAGUACUUUCUCAUAAAUAGAUGAUUCCACUGUAAGCCUUCACUUAGUUGUUUAAACAUUGUUUAUUUUCAUAUACUGAUAUAUAAUAUAGAUUGUGUAUUAAUUUAUAGAUUCUUGUACAUAAAAGCUUACAAUGAAAACAUAUACAGUGUAGUGAGAUAACAAUUUCUUGCAUUACAAUAGAGAAAGAAAUAAGAUACCAGUUGUACAAAAAAUAUAUGUAAUCUGUAAACACUCAAUGAAAUAUUUACAUCUGUACAUUUAAUAUUUAGUUCAAUGUGUCAGUAAUAAGAGUGACUGAUCUGUUUCAAUAAACGUGCAUAUCCACAUUUCUAAAAACAAAUAAGUUCUUAUAUUUCAAAUAAGUCCUACACCGCGGUCGCCAAUUUACAGUGUAUGUACAUCCAAUCAAGAGGAAAGUUGUACUUAAAG